AUGACAGAAUCCACAGAUUCCUGGGAACAUAUAAAAAGAUGCUUUGGUUUCUACAUGAAAGACAUUACUCAUUUGGAUAUUGGAGUGUUAUUAUUUAUGCAGUUUCAUGUAGAUUUUUUUUCUUUUGUUUCAGGAUCUGCUCCUAAAACACUGUUACGGAAAUUCUCACAUGCAAACUCUACGUGCAUAUUCCUGAGAGGAUGGCAGCACCAUUACAGAAGCCAGCUCAGAAAAGCUGCUAGCCAGAGAGCCCACGGUCAUAUUGUUUAUAUUUUGGUAGCACCUACAAAUCCCCGCCAAGGUUGGGAUCCCCUUGUGCUAGCUGCUGUACAGACUCAUAAGAGACAGCCCCUGCCCAGAACAGCUUCCAAUCUAAAUAGCCAAGAUAGACGGAAAGGGGAGAAGGGAAGUAUUACAAUCCUAAAUUUUAACUUUGGAACUGAAGCACAAAAAGAUUAAAUUCCUUGCCCAAGAUCAUACAGGAAGUCUACACAGACCUGGGAGUUGAACCCAGAGCACUUGACACCUAGUCCCAUGCAUUAACCACAAGACCAUCCUUCCUUUGCUAGUCAAGAUAAUUUAUUUUAUUGUGUCCUUCAUACAGAAUAUCUCAACACUUUGCAGAUAGUAAAACUGUGAGCCAAAGAGAAAAGGCAAGCUUUAAGAUGAAAUUUAAAGAGCAAGCUAGUCAGUGUCCAGGAAAGGGGAUAACAGGUUGAAAUGUAGAAUGAAAAACAGGGAAAAGUCUGACUGAGAAUUAUUAGAUUAGGGAAUAAUCUCCCACAGGAAGUGGUGGAAACCUAUUAUUUAGGACUUUUAAAGUAGGCUGAACUAAGCACUAGAAAAUGUAGGGUAGUAAGCAAAUUCGCACGAACAAGUGAAUGGACUAGAUCAGCAGUUCUCAAACUGGGGACUGCAAGUCAUGUCCAGGGCUGCUGGCCCCAUUGAUCAACUCCUCCCCCUCCCUCCCAGUGCCUCCUGCACGCCGUGGAAUAGCUGUUCAGUGGCAUGCAGGAAGCACGGGGGUGGGGGGAGGAGCGGGGAUGGACACCCUUAGGACAAGGGGUAGAAAGAGGUGGGGAAAAGGUGGGGUGGGGCCUUGGAGGAAGAGGUGGAGUGGGGGCGGGGCCAAGUACAUGCUCACUACACUGUUUCAUGAAGUUAGGCAGCAGGGCAGUCCAAACAAACAACCUCCCCUUUUUGCAGUCUUCUGUGGCUCUGCUCCUGCAGCUUGACUUUCCUGUCUUGUGGACUCAGACCCACACAUGCACCACAGUACUUAAAAGGUGUUGUUGCAGCAGCUGGCAAAGGAUUCUGUGGCAUGUAUAUGGCCAUUAGAAGGGGGGAGAUGGAGACAUUUGGAGACCAAAUGUGCUUUGGAACUUUGAACAGUCAAUUCUUUCAGACAAGUUGGAUUGGAGUCACUACAUUGCACCACUGGGGGUACCCAAACCGUGAC
Molecule: long non-coding RNA, 1459 nt
Filed under: Chrysemys picta bellii (western painted turtle)
Lineage: Eukaryota; Metazoa; Chordata; Testudines; Emydidae
Description: lncRNA (ENSCPBG00000018812.1)
Source: RNAcentral